AUGACAGUGAAAGAAGUAAUAUCUUCUUCAAAAGCAUGCACAUCAGCCAACAGGUUCUUUUCUAUAUCGAUCCAAAAUCUAAGGACAACAACAUUCCUUUUGUUAAAAACUAAGCCAUGCACUAAUCAAAAAUUGGGAAAAUCUCAUAGAUUAUAAGCAUAGUGGAUCAAACUUGCCUCAAUAUGGUUCUUGGAAUUCACAUUUACAAGUAUGCCUUGGUUCUCCACAAACUGAACACAAAUAUCACCAAAUAAUAUUACAUGAAAAUUACCACACACAAACAAAAACAGCUGGAAAUUGA
This 301-nucleotide long non-coding RNA is filed under the name Prunus dulcis (almond). RNAcentral's name for it is "sRNA ncRNA". Lineage: Eukaryota; Viridiplantae; Streptophyta; Magnoliopsida; Rosales; Rosaceae. The record is from RNAcentral.